CCACUACCCCACCGGGCUGCCCCUCCAUCUUCUUAAUAAUUGGAAAAUAUUUUCUUCCCUUUUCAUUUGUAUCUUCUUCCAUUUGGCAUUUAUGGUGGCAGCAGGGAACAGGUGUCUAUUUUUAGAAUGGACUGAAACCAGCACUUUGUGCUUGUCUUACUAUGGCAACUGGACUGAUUCCUAUCACUUAUUUAAAGGUCUUUCGGAGCAAGAAGCCAUUCCUUUCAGGGCAAUGCCUGGAGAGUGCUGUCAGGCGCUCUGGGGAAGGGGAAGCUGAUGGGACCUCAGAGUAGAGAACAGUGUCUGCAUGUCCUGAAACCAUAUUUCCUUCUAAGGUGCAUGCUUCCCAGAGCCACUGCAUUCUAGUGUAGCGCCAGCUGCCAGACACUCCACUGAAUGGAUGGGUGAGCUGAUGAGUACCUGGGAGUCCACAGCCCACCAGGCAGAGAUUCAGUGAGAAGUUGACGCCCAGAGUGGAGGACCUGCAGAAGGCAGCAGGUCACUGAUGCUGGUUUGAGGACCC
RNAcentral lists this long non-coding RNA (523 nucleotides) under Equus caballus (horse). Its description in RNAcentral is "lncRNA (ENSECAG00000056123.1)". The record is from RNAcentral. Lineage: Eukaryota; Metazoa; Chordata; Mammalia; Perissodactyla; Equidae.